CGAGUACCAUCAGAUUCUGACAUUAUUCUUAUAGGGUUGCAGGUUGCCCUUAUCAAAAGAAUUUGUCUUGUUCCCGGUUAUAAUACAAGACUUCCAACGGAUUCAUACUGUGCCGUAAUCAUUGACUUGGAAGGGCUGUGUCAAGAUUGACCCCAUUUGACCUGUUCUCAAUGGAUUUCCAACGUAUGCGAUGAUCUUCAAAUAGUGGUUUUGCAUUCUGUUUUGUGCCGAUAACACAAAGUCACGUAGACAAAAAUUUACACGUGCUUUUAGAUAUUUGUCACAGAAUGAGAUAAUAAUAGCAUACUCAUGCAAUGUGAAGAAAGUUGGGUUUCGAAUUCAUUCUCAA
Malus domestica (apple) is the source of this 349-nucleotide non-coding RNA. The record is from RefSeq and is a predicted model, not a curated record. Lineage: Eukaryota; Viridiplantae; Streptophyta; Magnoliopsida; Rosales; Rosaceae.